Molecule: unclassified non-coding RNA, 307 nt
Filed under: plant metagenome
Description: partial contains 5.8S ribosomal RNA, internal transcribed spacer 2, and large subunit ribosomal RNA
Rfam family: 5.8S ribosomal RNA (bases 1-105)
Source: RNAcentral
GAAAUGCGAUAAGUAAUGUGAAUUGCAGAAUUCAGUGAAUCAUCGAAUCUUUGAACGCACAUUGCGCCCGCCAGCACUCUGGCGGGCAUGCCUGUUCGAGCGUCAUUUCAACCCUCAGAACCCCUUGCGGGAUCUGGCGUUGGGGAUUGGCAUCCAGCCAGCCCCGAAAUCUAGUGGCGGUCCCUCCGCGACCUCCCCUGUGCAGUAGCGAUACCUCGCAGCGGGACAGCGGUCUGACCACGCCGUAAAACCCCCAACUUCUCAAGGUUGACCUCGAAUCAGGUAGGAAUACCCACUAGACUUAAGC